This 349-nucleotide unclassified non-coding RNA is filed under the name soil metagenome. RNAcentral's name for it is "partial contains 5.8S ribosomal RNA, internal transcribed spacer 2, and large subunit ribosomal RNA". The stretch from base 1 to 120 matches the Rfam family "5.8S ribosomal RNA", at positions 35 to 154 of the family's 154-position model. The record is from RNAcentral.
GAUGAAGAACGUAGUGAAAUGCGAUAAGUAAUGUGAAUUGCAGAAUUCAGUGAAUCAUCGAAUCUUUGAACGCACAUUGCGCCCAUUAGUAUUCUAGUGGGCAUGCCUGUUCGAGCGUCAUUUCAACCCUUAAGCCUAGCUUAGUGUUGGGAGACUGCCUAAUACGCAGCUCCUCAAAACCAGUGGCGGAGUCUGUUCGUGCUCUGAGCGUAGUAAUUUUUUAUCUCGCUUCUGCAAGCCGGCCAGACGACAGCCAUAAACCGCACCCUCUCGGGGGGCACUUUUUUAAUGGUUGACCUCGGAUCAGGUAGGAAUACCCGCUGAACUUAAGCAUAUCAAUAGCGGAGGA